Molecule: long non-coding RNA, 628 nt
Filed under: Cricetulus griseus (Chinese hamster)
Lineage: Eukaryota; Metazoa; Chordata; Mammalia; Rodentia; Cricetidae
Description: lncRNA (ENSCGRG00015031270.1)
Source: RNAcentral
GAGUCCUUCACAGUGCCAUUACGGUUCAACAAUGAACAUGUUAGCAAGACUGAGGAAUCUCCUUAGGAGAGAAUAUGGAGAAGGGAGACAGACCAGAGACAGGCUGACUUUCAGCCUCAGUUGAAACCAUCAAAAAGGAAAUGGCUCAAAAGGAAGAACAGGGCUGCUGGAAAGCCAUCAACUCCCCCAACACUCCUCACUAAGAAGGAGGUGAAUCAGAAAAUGUAGAUUCUGACAGCCAGCUAGAGAAGUGACCAGAGAAACAAAGGAGCUGCGGGAUUGCCUCAGCUCCAUCACGGAAGGAUCCCCUGACAACAGAAGCAGAACCUGAAACCUGGGCAGGAGUGAGAUGGAGACAGACUAUUAUUCUGUUUCUUCCAAAAGAAAACCAGAGCCUAUGGCCUGAGUCACAUAACUCAGGGAUUGAAGACAGAGGUGUGAGUUCCCAGCAUGCAUUUGGACAGGUCCUGUCAAGUGGCAACUUCUGUGAGAAGCCAGCUGCUAUGGAGUAUAAGCAGGUCAUGGCAGACCUGCAUAGAUUGGAGAAUGAGAACACAGAGGCCUUGAAGAGAUUCAGUGAGCUUGACAAGGAGUCACUCUUCUAUUGGUAAGUGCCUGUCUUGCUGGG